CACACUUAGUGAAAAUUUAAAAAACUUCAGCAUUUCUCCCUCCCUGGCCUCUGCGUAAACCUCUGCCUCACACGCCGACGAACCAACCAAGCAACAUCGCAUCUUCCCCCCUGGCCAGCCGACGUCGUUUCUCCCUCCCCGGCCAGCCACCGCCGUCGCUCCAAUCUCCUCCGGCGUCACCUCUUCCCUCCUCUGCUGCUGUCGCCACUUCCCGGCCUCCUCUACCGCCGGCAUGCCUCUUCCCGGCCUCCUCUCCCGCCGUUAAGCUCCUACAGGUUUGUCCUCAAUUUUUUUUACCCAAAUCCCUAAUUUCUGAAUUGUAUCGUUGAAUUUCCAUAUUUGAAAGCUAUAAAUGUUUUUAAACCCUAGGUUAGUUGUGGAUUAUAGGUUAGUUUAUGAGAGAGGAGCUAGGCUGCUAGGUGAGUCUAUACUGGAAUGGAACCUACUGUGUAUUUCGUAUAUUCUGGUUUCUACAACACAUUGUGGUUAUGUUGAGGCUGUGCGAGGUAGCUGGUUACAAGCAGGCAAUUGAUACAAGAGAUGCAUUGGCGAAAUUUGUAUAUGCAAGCUUGUUUGACUGGGUUGUAGAUAAGAUAAAUACAUCGCUUGCAAUGGGAAAGCAACAUACUGAACAAAAGCUGUUAGGUGAAGCUGGACAUAUGCAAUAAACAUUAAAUUUUACACGCUA
This is a long non-coding RNA of Ipomoea nil (Japanese morning glory), 688 nucleotides long. RefSeq lists it as uncharacterized. NCBI's taxonomy places the organism in Eukaryota, Viridiplantae, Streptophyta, Magnoliopsida, Solanales, Convolvulaceae. The transcript is spliced from 4 exons. The record is from RefSeq and is a predicted model, not a curated record.